RNAcentral lists this ribosomal RNA (497 nucleotides) under uncultured bacterium. RNAcentral's name for it is "partial 16S ribosomal RNA". It matches the Rfam family "Bacterial small subunit ribosomal RNA", at positions 28 to 507 of the family's 1533-position model. The record is from RNAcentral.
GAUGAACGCUGGCGGCGUGCCUAAUACAUGCAAGUCGAGCGAACAGAUGAGGAGCUUGCUCCUCUGACGUUAGCGGCGGACGGGUGAGUAACACGUGGAUAACCUACCUAUAAGACUGGGAUAACUUCGGGAAACCGGAGCUAAUACCGGAUAAUAUAUUGAACCGCAUGGUUCAAUAGUGAAAGACGGUUUUGCUGUCACUUAUAGAUGGAUCCGCGCCGCAUUAGCUAGUUGGUAAGGUAACGGCUUACCAAGGCAACGAUGCGUAGCCGACCUGAGAGGGUGAUCGGCCACACUGGAACUGAGACACGGUCCAGACUCCUACGGGAGGCAGCAGUAGGGAAUCUUCCGCAAUGGGCGAAAGCUUGACGGAGCAACGCCGCGUGAGUGAUGAAGGUCUUCGGAUCGUAAAACUCUGUUAUUAGGGAGGAACAAAUGUGUAAGUAACUAUGCACGUCUUGACGGUACCUAAUCAGAAAGCCACGGCUAACUACGUG